RNAcentral lists this ribosomal RNA (263 nucleotides) under uncultured Eubacteriales bacterium. Its description in RNAcentral is "uncultured Clostridiales bacterium partial 16S ribosomal RNA". It matches the Rfam family "Bacterial small subunit ribosomal RNA", at positions 77 to 339 of the family's 1533-position model. The record is from RNAcentral. RNAcentral also lists the same sequence under 1 other name. Lineage: Bacteria; Bacillati; Bacillota; Clostridia; Eubacteriales.
UGAAACCAGAUAUGACUUAGUGGCGGACGGGUGAGUAACACGUGAGCAACCUGCCUUUCAGAGGGGGAUAACGGCUGGAAACGGUCGCUAAUACCGCAUGAUACAUUUGGGUGGCAUCAUCUGAACAUCAAAGAUUUAUCGCUGAAAGAUGGGCUCGCGUCUGAUUAGAUAGUUGGUGGGGUAACGGCCUACCAAGUCUACGAUCAGUAGCCGGACUGAGAGGUUGAACGGCCACAUUGGGACUGAGACACGGCCCAGACUCC